This 930-nucleotide ribosomal RNA is filed under the name Micrococcus luteus. RNAcentral's name for it is "bacterial SSU rRNA". It matches the Rfam family "Bacterial small subunit ribosomal RNA", at positions 64 to 1006 of the family's 1533-position model. Lineage: Bacteria; Bacillati; Actinomycetota; Actinomycetes; Micrococcales; Micrococcaceae. The record is from RNAcentral.
GUACGAUGAGCCCAGCUUGCUGGGUGGAUUAGUGGCGAACGGGUGAGUAACACGUGAGUAACCUGCCCUUAACUCUGGGAUAAGCCUGGGAAACUGGGUCUAAUACCGGAUAGGAGCGUCCACCGCAUGGUGGGUGUUGGAAAGAUUUAUCGGUUUUGGAUGGACUCGCGGCCUAUCAGCUUGUUGGUGAGGUAAUGGCUCACCAAGGCGACGACGGGUAGCCGGCCUGAGAGGGUGACCGGCCACACUGGGACUGAGACACGGCCCAGACUCCUACGGGAGGCAGCAGUGGGGAAUAUUGCACAAUGGGCGAAAGCCUGAUGCAGCGACGCCGCGUGAGGGAUGACGGCCUUCGGGUUGUAAACCUCUUUCAGUAGGGAAGAAGCGAAAGUGACGGUACCUGCAGAAGAAGCACCGGCUAACUACGUGCCAGCAGCCGCGGUAAUACGUAGGGUGCGAGCGUUAUCCGGAAUUAUUGGGCGUAAAGAGCUCGUAGGCGGUUUGUCGCGUCUGUCGUGAAAGUCCGGGGCUUAACCCCGGAUCUGCGGUGGGUACGGGCAGACUAGAGUGCAGUAGGGGAGACUGGAAUUCCUGGUGUAGCGGUGGAAUGCGCAGAUAUCAGGAGGAACACCGAUGGCGAAGGCAGGUCUCUGGGCUGUAACUGACGCUGAGGAGCGAAAGCAUGGGGAGCGAACAGGAUUAGAUACCCUGGUAGUCCAUGCCGUAAACGUUGGGCACUAGGUGUGGGGACCAUUCCACGGUUUCCGCGCCGCAGCUAACGCAUUAAGUGCCCCCCCUGGGGAGUACGGCCGCAGGCUAAAACUCAAAGAAUUGACAGGGGGCCCGCCCAAUCGGCGGAGCAUGCGGAUUAAUUCGAUGCAACGCGAAGAACCUUACCAAGGCUUGACAUGUUCUCGAUCGCCCUAGAGA